GCCAGUACUGGCAGGGACUCACGAUCACGAGGCUAGCACCUCUGGCGGGGGUGGAGAUGAUCAAUCCGCUAGUCCAUGGCUAGCGUCUCCAGCGUCCACCAGUGCUCUUCAGUCGCCUCCUCACUCUCCCGUGGAGAGAGCUUUGAACGAGCUGGCUUUCAGUAGAUUCCGGAACAAUAUGCGUGUUGAGGCCAGGCGAUCGUCCGCUCGCCGGUCGCUGCUCGGUAGAUUGGGAGCUCUCCCAGGCGACGAGACGACGUUUUCUCAGCCAAAAGACCAACAUCCUUGGCAGCUGCAAAAUCCCAUUCCAUCGUUCCAGGGUCAGGAUGGGAUGGCUUAUCCACCGUCAUCUGCGGUUUCCUCCGAAGGGUCAGUUGGCGAGAGG
Molecule: long non-coding RNA, 385 nt
Organism: Selaginella moellendorffii
Lineage: Eukaryota; Viridiplantae; Streptophyta; Lycopodiopsida; Selaginellales; Selaginellaceae
Exons: 3
Source: RefSeq, a predicted model, not a curated record